RNAcentral lists this ribosomal RNA (621 nucleotides) under Microbacterium esteraromaticum. Its description in RNAcentral is "bacterial SSU rRNA". It matches the Rfam family "Bacterial small subunit ribosomal RNA", at positions 99 to 732 of the family's 1533-position model. The record is from RNAcentral. Lineage: Bacteria; Bacillati; Actinomycetota; Actinomycetes; Micrococcales; Microbacteriaceae.
CGAACGGGUAGAGUAACACGUGAGCAACCUGCCCCUGACUCUGGGAUAAGCGCUGGAAACGGCGUCUAAUACUGGAUAUGUCCCGUCACCGCAUGGUGUGCGGGUGGAAAGAUUUUUCGGUUGGGGAUGGGCUCGCGGCCUAUCAGCUUGUUGGUGAGGUAAUGGCUCACCAAGGCGUCGACGGGUAGCCGGCCUGAGAGGGUGACCGGCCACACUGGGACUGAGACACGGCCCAGACUCCUACGGGAGGCAGCAGUGGGGAAUAUUGCACAAUGGGCGGAAGCCUGAUGCAGCAACGCCGCGUGAGGGAUGACGGCCUUCGGGUUGUAAACCUCUUUUAGCAGGGAACAAGCGAGAGUGACGGUACCUGCAGAAAAAGCACCGGCUAACUACGUGCCAGCAGCCGCGGUAAUACGUAGGGUGCAAGCGUUAUCCGGAAUUAUUGGGCGUAAAGAGCUCGUAGGCGGUCUGUCGCGUCUGCUGUGAAAUCGCGAGGCUCAACCUCGGGCUUGCAGUGGGUACGGGCAGACUAGAGUGCGCUAGGGGAGAUUGAAAUUCCUGGUGUAGCGGUGGAAUGCGCACAUAUCAGGAGGAACACCGAUGGCGAACGCAGAUCUCUGG